This 254-nucleotide ribosomal RNA is filed under the name uncultured bacterium. RNAcentral's name for it is "partial 16S ribosomal RNA". It matches the Rfam family "Bacterial small subunit ribosomal RNA", at positions 524 to 776 of the family's 1533-position model. The record is from RNAcentral.
UACGGGGGGAGCAAGCGUUGUUCGGAUUUACUGGGCGUAAAGGGCGCGUAGGCGGUCAGCACAAGUCAGUUGUGAAAUCUCCGAGCUUAACUCGGAAAGGUCAACUGAUACUGUGCGACUAGAGUGCGGAAGGGGCAACUGGAAUUCUUGGUGUAGCGGUGAAAUGCGUAGAUAUCAAGAGGAGCACCUGCGGCGAAGGCGGGUUGCUGGGCCGACACUGACGCUGAAGCGCGAAAGCCAGGGGAGCGAACGGG